Long non-coding RNA from Apis florea (little honeybee), 444 nucleotides. NCBI's taxonomy places the organism in Eukaryota, Metazoa, Arthropoda, Insecta, Hymenoptera, Apidae. The record is from RefSeq and is a predicted model, not a curated record.
UUACACUUAUUAUUACUUUUCUUUUUCACUGUCUCAUUAAAAUGAUAUGAAUGAUAUAUAUUAUGUAUCGAAUCUAAUAAAAGAACCACUUGAUAUGAAUGAAAAUUUUAAUGAAAAAUAAAAUGAAGAAAACGAUCAAUUUGCCUUAUCCAACGAUAUAAAGAUUUUGUAUUAAAUCUAUGGAAAUGAGUGAAUAGGAAAAAUGAAGGAUAAUAAUAAUGAUAUGUAUUUUAUAUCGAAAAUGAAAAUUAUAACAAGGAUGAAAAUGAAAAUAAUAAAUAAAAUGAUAAUGAAAAUGUAAUUAUAAUGAAAAUGAUAAUGAUGAAGAUGUGAUUAUGAACGGAAUGACAAGGAUGAUGAGACCGGUGAUGAUUGGGAUAACGAAGAUGAUAUUGAUAGUGAUAGUGGCAAUGACGUUAUGGUACUGGAAACAGUUGAUAAUGA